UAAACUGUGACAGGUCUUGUAACUCAGGCAUGUCUUGUGACCUUUGCCAUCCUGCACAGAUGGGAAAAACAGGACCUUACAAAAUCCUUGCAAACUUGCAGAAAUAGUUACAAAAAUAGUUAUACAAGCAGAACAAAGAAUGAUGGCAUGGGUAGAGAAUUUCAGGAAGACACUGAUAAGAACUUGUUUCUCUUGUCCCUGUUUUUGGAACCCAUUUCUUCAGGGCCCCUACCUGGCCUUGCAGGUAAUGUUAUCACAGCUGUAGCUGGACUUUGGAGUGAGUCAGCCUGGUCAGGGAAGGACUUGUUUUUCUUUUUACUUGUUUUUCUUAUAUUUCCUGCUUCAUGAGCAAGAAACAACAAGCUUUACCUUCACAGUAGAAGAGUCCAGCAGAACAAAGUUGGAAGCAGAGGGAGUGAAUCUAAACCUAUGGACAGAUUCAUCUUGGAAACCCUAAGUGAGGCUAAAGGGAGAAAACAAAUUGGAAGGAGAUUUAAAGGAUUCUCAAAUACAAACUGAAGUUUUCAAGAACAGGAUCAUGAAGGACAGUAAAAAUCAGGAAUUGCCAAACUUUGUCACAAUGGCUGUACAACAUCAGUGAGCCGAAGUCAUACCACUGCAUUACAGCCCGGGCGACAGAGAAAGACUCCAUCUCAAAAAAAAAAAAAAAGGAUGGAUGGAAGAGAAGGAAAGGAAGAAAGGAGAAAAGGGAGGGAGGGAGGGAAGGAGGGAGGACUUGUAUGUGAGAAGUGACUUCUACCUUACUGCUUUAAAAAAUGUAUCUGUCUUUUGACAACAUAAAAUGUCUUGUGUCUAAA
This 818-nucleotide long non-coding RNA is filed under the name Homo sapiens (human). RNAcentral's name for it is "HSALNT0409174". Lineage: Eukaryota; Metazoa; Chordata; Mammalia; Primates; Hominidae. The record is from RNAcentral.